GCAGGGGGGGAAAAAGCAGAGAGCAGAAAGAGGAAAUCAGGGAAAUCAGGAAAUCAAAUCUGCAUGGUUGAAAGGUGGGAAAGGACGACUGAGGAUUGGUGAAGAAGACGUGGAGGAUUGGCGUGUGUAAGGGAAUGGGGACGGCGAGAAGAAAUUCCCUGCGAUGCUUUUGCACACUUGAGACCCCCUGAGAACCCCUGAGAACCUCAUACAAAAAAAAAAAAAAAAAAGACGUGUGCUGGGUGAAUCCCGAAAACGGCGUUGACUCUGUGAUGGAUGAUGUUGAAGGGGUUUGUGGAGACUGUAUGGAUCUCUGCAUCUCCAGCCGACGUGACGGAGACGAGAGACGUGCAGGCCAAACAGGGCAGGGCUGUGA
This is a long non-coding RNA of Silurus meridionalis, 376 nucleotides long. RefSeq lists it as uncharacterized. The transcript has 3 exons. The record is from RefSeq and is a predicted model, not a curated record. NCBI's taxonomy places the organism in Eukaryota, Metazoa, Chordata, Actinopteri, Siluriformes, Siluridae.